GAGUUUGAUCCUGGCUCAGGACGAACGCUGGCGGCGCGCCUAACACAUGCAAGUCGAACGAGCGAGAGAGAGCUCGCUUUCUCAAGCGAGUGGCGAACGGGUGAGUAACGCGUGAGGAACCUGCCUCAAAGAGGGGGACAACAGUUGGAAACGACUGCUAAUACCGCAUAAGCCCACAGCUCGGCAUCGAGCAGAGGGAAAAGGAGCAAUCCGCUUUGAGAUGGCCUCGCGUCCGAUUAGCUAGUUGGUGAGGUAAUGGCCCACCAAGGCGACGAUCGGUAGCCGGACUGAGAGGUUGAACGGCCACAUUGGGACUGAGACACGGCCCAUACUCCUACGGGAGGCAGCAGUGGGGAAUAUUGCACAAUGGGGGAAACCCUGAUGCAGCGACGCCGCGUGGAGGAAGAAGGUCUUCGGAUUGUAAACUCCUGUUGUUGAGGAAGAUAAUGACGGUACUCAACAAGGAAGUGACGGCUAACUACGUGCCAGCAGCCGCGGUAAAACGUAGGUCACAAGCGUUGUCCGGAAUUACUGGGUGUAAAGGGAGCGCAGGCGGGAAGACAUGUUGGAAGUGAAAUCUAUGGGCUCAACCCAUAAACUGCUUUCAAAACUGUUUUUCUUGAGUAGUGCAGAGGUANGCGGAAUUCCCGGUGUAGCGGUGGAAUGCGUAGAUAUCGGGAGGAACACCAGUGGCGAAGGCGGCCUACUGGGCACCAACUGACGCUGAGGCUCGAAAGUGUGGGUAGCAAACAGGAUUAGAUACCCUGGUAGUCCACACCGUAAACGAUGAUUACUAGGUGUUGGAGGAUUGACCCCUUCAGUGCCGCAGUUAACACAAUAAGUAAUCCACCUGGGGAGUACGACCGCAAGGUUGAAACUCAAAGGAAUUGACGGGGGCCCGCACAAGCAGUGGAGUAUGUGGUUUAAUUCGACGCAACGCGAAGAACCUUACCAAGUCUUGACAUCCUGCGACGCACAUAGAAAUAUGUGUUUCCUUCGGGACGCAGAGACAGGUGGUGCAUGGUUGUCGUCAGCUCGUGUCGUGAGAUGUUGGGUUAAGUCCCGCAACGAGCGCAACCCUUACUGUCAGUUACUACGCAAGAGGACUCUGGCAGGACUGCCGUUGACAAAACGGAGGAAGGUGGGGAUGACGUCAAAUCAUCAUGCCCUUUAUGACUUGGGCUACACACGUACUACAAUGGCGUUAAACAAAGAGAAGCAAGACCGCGAGGUGGAGCAAAACUCAGAAACAACGUCCCAGUUCGGACUGCAGGCUGCAACUCGCCUGCACGAAGUCGGAAUUGCUAGUAAUCGUGGAUCAGCAUGCCACGGUGAAUACGUUCCCGGGCCUUGUACACACCGCCCGUC
RNAcentral lists this ribosomal RNA (1368 nucleotides) under uncultured bacterium. Its description in RNAcentral is "bacterial SSU rRNA". It matches the Rfam family "Bacterial small subunit ribosomal RNA". The record is from RNAcentral.